Molecule: transfer RNA, 73 nt
Organism: Paenibacillaceae bacterium GAS479
Lineage: Bacteria; Bacillati; Bacillota; Bacilli; Caryophanales; Paenibacillaceae
Rfam family: tRNA
About the family: Transfer RNA (tRNA) molecules are approximately 80 nucleotides in length.
Source: Rfam
GGGGCUAUAGCUCAGCUGGGAGAGCGCCUGCCUUGCACGCAGGAGGUCAGGAGUUCGAUCCUCCUUGGCUCCA